UUGCCCUAGUAACGGCGAGUGAAGCGGCAACAGCUCAAAUUUGAAAUCUGGCCCUAGUGGUCCGAGUUGUAAUUUGUAGAGGAUGCUUUGGGUGCGGUGCCUUCUGAGUUCCCUGGAACGGGACGCCAGAGAGGGUGAGAGCCCCGUACGGUUGGACACCUAGCCUAUAUAUAGCUCCUUCGACGAGUCGAGUAGUUUGGGAAUGCUGCUCUAAAUGGGAGGUAUAUUUCUUCUAAAGCUAAAUACCGGCCAGAGACCGAUAGCGCACAAGUAGAGUGAUCGAAAGAUGAAAAGCACUUUGAAAAGAGGGUUAAAUAGCACGUGAAAUUGUUGAAAGGGAAGCGUUUGCGACCAGACCUUUUCCGGGCGGAUCAUCCGGCGUUCUCGCCGGUGCACUUCGCCCGGUUUAGGCCAGCAUCGGUUUUCUUAGGGGGAUAAAGGCCAGGGGAACGUAGCUCUUUCGGGAGUGUUAUAGCCCCUGGCGUAAUACCCUUCGGGGGACCGAGGACCGCGCUUUUGCAAGGAUGCUGGCGUAAUGGUCGUCAACGACCCGUCUUGAAACACGGACCAAGGAGUCGAACAUUGGUGCGAGUGUUUGGGUGUUAAACCCUCACGCGUAAUGAAAGUGAACGGAGGUGAGAGCCCUUACGGGUGCAUCAUCGACCGAUCCUGAUGUCUUCGGAUGGAUUUGAGUAAGAGCAUCACUGUUCGGACCCGAAAGAUGGUGAACUAUGCGUGGAUAGGGUGAAGCCAGAGGAAACUCUGGUGGAGGCUCGCAGCGGUUCUGACGUGCAAAUCGAUCGUCAAAUCUGCGC
RNAcentral lists this ribosomal RNA (815 nucleotides) under Hypoxylon griseobrunneum. RNAcentral's name for it is "partial large subunit ribosomal RNA". It matches the Rfam family "Eukaryotic large subunit ribosomal RNA", at positions 75 to 916 of the family's 3401-position model. The record is from RNAcentral. Lineage: Eukaryota; Fungi; Ascomycota; Sordariomycetes; Xylariales; Hypoxylaceae.